AUACGAAGGGAGCAAGCGUUAUUCGGAAUUACUGGGCGUAAAGAGCGUGUAGGCGGUCUCUUAAGUCAGUUGUUAAAUCCCACAGCUCAACUGUGGAACUGCAAGUGAUACUGGGAGGCUAGAGUGCAAGAGAGAGAAGUGGAAUUCUCGGAGUAGCGGUAAAAUGCGUAGAUCUCGAGAGGAACACCGAUAGCGAAGGCAGCUUUUUGGCUUGCUACUGACGCUAAAGCGCGAAAGCGUGGGGAGCAAACAGGAUUAGAUACCCUGGUAGUCCACGCCGUAAACGAUGAUCACUAAAUGUCGGGUUUGCAUAGCAGAUUCGGUGUUAAAGCUAACGCGUUAAGUGAUCCGCCUGGGGAGUACGGUCGCAAGAUUAAA
Molecule: ribosomal RNA, 378 nt
Filed under: uncultured bacterium
Lineage: Bacteria
Description: bacterial SSU rRNA
Rfam family: Bacterial small subunit ribosomal RNA
Source: RNAcentral